AACGCACAUUGCGCCCUUUGGUAUUCCGAGGGGCACGCCUGUUCGAGCGUCAUUUAAACCAUCAAGCACGGCUUGGCUUUGGGCGCGGUCUGACGACCCGUCUGCAACUAGUUGGCGGUACCGUCCGGCUUCAAGCGUAGCAAGUUUACACCCUCGCUUAGGAGCUCUGGCGGCGCCUGCCGGGUGACAGCAUUUAAAGUUUGACCUCGGAUCAGGUGGGGAUACCCGCUGAACUUAA
RNAcentral lists this unclassified non-coding RNA (238 nucleotides) under uncultured fungus. Its description in RNAcentral is "partial contains 5.8S ribosomal RNA, internal transcribed spacer 2, and large subunit ribosomal RNA". Lineage: Eukaryota; Fungi. The record is from RNAcentral.